UACGUAGGUGGCGAGCGUUGUCCGGAUUUACUGGGCGUAAAGGGCGCGUAGGCGGUCCUGAUCGUCGGAUGUGAAAGGCCUGGGCUCAACCUGGGAAUGGCAUCCGAUACGGCGGGACUGGAGUGUGGGAGAGGUUGGUGGAAUUCCCAGUGUAGAGGUGAAAUUCGUAGAUAUUGGGAAGAACACCGGUGGCGAAGGCGGCCAACUGGACCACAACUGACGCUGAGGCGCGAAAGCGUGGGGAGCAAACAGG
This 253-nucleotide ribosomal RNA is filed under the name uncultured bacterium. Its description in RNAcentral is "partial 16S ribosomal RNA". It matches the Rfam family "Bacterial small subunit ribosomal RNA", at positions 524 to 776 of the family's 1533-position model. The record is from RNAcentral.